Molecule: ribosomal RNA, 436 nt
Filed under: uncultured bacterium
Lineage: Bacteria
Description: bacterial SSU rRNA
Rfam family: Bacterial small subunit ribosomal RNA
Source: RNAcentral
CCUACGGGUGGCAGCAGUGGGGAAUAUUGCGCAAUGGGGGGAACCCUGACGCAGCAACGCCGCGUGAAGGAAGAAGGCCUUCGGGUCGUAAACUUUUGUCAUUGGGGACGAUAAUGACGGUACCCGAUGAGGAAGCCACGGCUAACUACGUGCCAGCAGCCGCGGUAAUACGUAGGUGGCGAGCGUUGUCCGGAUUUACUGGGUGUAAAGGGCGUGUAGGCGGGGUAGCAAGUCAGAUGUGAAAUACCAAGGCUUAACCUUGGGGGUGCAUUUGAAACUGUUACUCUAGAGUGUGGGAGAGGAAAGUGGAAUUCCUAGUGUAGCGGUGGAAUGCGUAGAUAUCAGGAGGAACACCGGUGGCGAAGGCGGGUCUCUGGGCAGUAACUGACGCUGAGGAGCGAAAGCGUGGGGAGCGAACAGGAUUAGAUACCCUUGU